ACUUCCCUCUCCCCAGCCAAUUUGUCCAGCUCCUCCCGGGGGAUCCUGAGGAAUUCCCAGGCCAGCCAAACGUAUCCUGGGUCUUCCCCGUGGCCUCCUACCGGUCGGACAUACCCCAAACACCUCCCUAGGGAGGCGUUGGGUGACAUCCUGACCAGAUGCCCGAACCACCUCAUCUGGCUCCUCUCAAAUGGGAUGAGCAGCGGCUUUACUCUGAGCUCCUCCCGGAUGGCAGAGCUUCUGACCCUAUCUUUAAGGGAGAGCCCCACCACCCAGCGGAGGAAGCCCAUUGUGGCCGCUUGUACCCAUGAUCUUGUCCUUUCGGUCAUAAACCAAAGCUCAUGACCAUAGGUGAGGAUGGGAGCGUAGAUCGACAGGUAAAUCGAGAGCUUUGCCUUCCGGCUCAGCUACUUAACCACAACGCACCGAUCCGUCUGUCAAUGUCACGAUCCACCCGUCCCCCACUCGUCAGCAAGACACCUAGGUACUUGAAAUCCUCCACUUGGGGCAAGAUCUCCUCCCCAACUUGGAGAUAGCACUCCACCCUUUCCCGGGCGAGAAUUGUAACACAAAAUCUUAGGGUACAUUAAACAUGUUUCUUGUUGCAGUUAAGUCCUUAAAUAUAAUAGUUAACAUACAAGACAACUUGUCUUUUAGUAGUAAGCAAACAAACAAAGGCUCCUAAUUAGUCAUCUGACAUAUGCUGUAAAAUAUUAUAUAAUUUAUCAUUCUAUUUUUUUGUCAACAUUAUUAAGGACAAGUGGUAGAAAAUUAUUAAUCUGUUUGUUCAUUUAUUGUUAAUAUCUGGACUGGUAUGUUUCAGAGAGAUGAUUCAUUAGUAUUGCGAUACUAUACUAGUACCGGUAUACCGUACAACCCUACUCCCUAGUGUUACCUUAUCUAAGUUAUUGUGUAGAAAUGUUGGGAAACAACUACAAAAGUACACUUCAUUCAUUAACGGUGUUAAUAAAAAGAUCAGUUAUAAUAAUACAUCAUGUUGGAUAUAGAGAACAUACAAACCCUUUAUUUAUUGAAUUGAAAAUACUGAAAUCGCACAACAUAGUGCAUUUGCAAACAGCUAAAAUUAUGCACAAAGCAAACUACAAUCUGUUACCCAAGAAUGUACAACAAUUCUUCUUUAAAAAAGAGGAAAUAUGUAAUCCUAGAGAAAUAUGUAAUUUAAAACAUUUAAAACACUUAAGACCUUCAGUAUAUUUUAGUAUGUGGAAUUAAAUUAUAUAAUGGAUGAAAAAAAACUCAAACAAAGUACUAAUAUGAUUCACUUCAAGAAACUCUUCAAACUUAAAGUGUUUACAAAGUACAAAGAAGAAGAACCAUUAUAACCAUUCUGAAUUUAUUUCCUCCAUUCAUUCAUUUUCUAGAUAAUCUAAUUUAUCUCACCAUAUGAAAUAUAACUUACUUCACAAAUUAUUAUUUAUUUAUUUUAAUGCUAUUAGUUAUGGAGUAUAUUGUGAAUACAUUGAUAACAGGAAGUGAACAAACGUUUUAGCAACAGCUAUGUAAAAGAAAAGGGGUAGGAUUAAAUAAAUUCUGCUUCUUCCUACUCCUUUUCAAACAUGUUGAAUAGAGAAACUGGAAAUUGGGAUGGAUCAUGUUGUAUGCAUGCAUGUUCCAAAUAAACACAAACUCAACUCAACUCAAUACUGUCAAAAUAAUGUUGUUAUUGAUUGGAGAAAGAAGAGUAAUUUUUAUUUUUUUUUAUUAAUCUCCACUAUGUAUUUUAAGCAGCAUAAACAUUCUGUUCUUGCAGACAGAGUAUAAGGCCAUUUUGCUUUUGACAUUUUUUGACACCAAAAUAUAACCCAGUAAGACGCAGUAACUACUUCAUGGAGUUUCUCUUCAAAUAAACAUACAGCAUUCAACAAUGGGACAGUAUGCUGAAUAAAACAUUUGACAAAGACAAUCAGACAAGUGCUGUCAAAUGUUAUGCAGUCACUUAGCAACUGUCUUAAGAUUAAAUCAAUGUGAGACAUUUAUAUUUGUUUGAAAAUGAACGAUAAAUGAUUAAAACACGUAAAAUUCAUGUCAAACUACAAUAGGUUGUGAGGUUAGUUUGUUUGAUUUCCAGUGUGUGAUGUCAACAAUGCUUUUUAUGGUACAUGUCUUAACACUUACUGUAUGGUACAUUUGAAAAAUAGACCUAAAAACACCUCAUACUUUGCUCUUUUCACUUUUAUAAAAAUUACUAUGCGUUGUAAAAAUAUCAACAAUACAUGAAAAUAUUGUUACAAUGGCAUUUUAGGUGGUGACAAAUUAUUGUGUGGCUACAAACUAGAAGAAACUAACUGAUUCAAAGCUUUUUCCAGUAAAAACCUAGUUAUAAAAAAAAUACUUUAAAAAAAUAUAUUUAUAUAUUAUGGGACAAUUUGUUGUAUUCUUGACAGCCCGAUAAGUAACUUCUGGUUAAAUACAUAACAUAACAUAACAUAACAAACACAACAAAAAAAUACCAUAAUAAUAUCAAGUUUCAAAGUGUCAGGGAGGAAGGUGCAGCAGCUUUUAAACCUGUGAAGCUAAGUGGGAGAUCCAUACCACCAUGGGGCUACAUUACAAAAAUCCACAGUGAACAACAAACACUAUUACAGCUGCCACAAAUCCAAUGAUGAAACAAAAAUGGCUGGAGUGGAUAUUGAUUCAGAUGCUGUAUGAAGUAUGCCCGUCUCUUAAAAAAGUGUUACUUCUACUGUUCGGAGUGUUUUUAGAUGGUUAGUCCGUUUGCAAAGCUUUUGGUGCUCAAACAAUACUUUAACACUGUUUUUUCCACCACUAGGGGGUACAGUGCAUGCAUGUUUCACAUACAAACUUUAAAUCAUGAUUCCAACUAAGGGACAGUAAAUUAAACGAGGAGGGGUGUACUUUGCUAGUUAGUUUUGGGGCUAAAGCUGACCCCAGGCCAGUCGUAGGUGUCGGGCAGGAAGGAGUCAUAGUUGGUGUUCCACACGGUCGCGUGCACAAAGGCGUUCUUGUCUAAGGGCUCUGGGUAGCGGAACGCCAUGCCUUUAGCGUACACAAACUCCACCACCUGAAGUCAAAGCAGUUAGUUAACAAGUUAUAGGGAGUUUAAGUAUGAUCUGUUUUUCUUGCCUUGACAGCCAUCUGGAGUGAAACCUCUCUGAUGUUGGAGAGCGGCGGGUAUAGUCGGCCUUCCUCCAGCUCUUCAGCAGUCAGCUGCUCUGCCAGCGUCUACCGGAUGAGCAGCGAGAUCAUUUGCGUGAACCACUAUACCAGCAGGACUCAAACCUGGGAGGUGAGGAGAGCAGUGGGGAGCAGCAGUGCCGCGCCCGGAAAUCAUUUGUGGUGAUUUAACCCCCCAUUCAAACCCUUGAUGCUGAGUGCCAAGCAGGAAGGCCAGGCCCACAGUGGGAGUGUAGACAAUCGGCAUCAGCUCCUCGAUGUCCCCCAUCAAGACUCUGUAGAAGAGCCUCUCGUUUCUUUCCUGGAUGCCCAUCAGGGGGCAGCAGGCCGUGUAUGCCCAACAUUUGUCGCUCCUGUAAAGAAAAGGCCAUUCCCUGGGAAAACAUAAAGAGACAAUAGGAGAAGAUGAGAGCUGAAAGAAGUGACCAUGUGAAAGCAGUUUUGCAGCUGGUGAAAGAAAUGAGGGAAGGAGGAGGGUGUCACCUGCAGGAAGCCAAUAAAGACAAGACAGUUUGAAGAUACAAAGGGGGAGGCUCACCCUGCAAAAUGCAAAGUCAUGGUGAGGGAACACUUUCCAUCGCUAUCGUCACCUAUAGGCCUGUCAAGAGAUUUUUAUCUAAAUGAGUUUUUAACUGUUUGAAUAAAGGAUAUUGAUUAAUAUUGA
This is a long non-coding RNA of Nerophis ophidion (straightnose pipefish), 3820 nucleotides long. RefSeq lists it as uncharacterized. Lineage: Eukaryota; Metazoa; Chordata; Actinopteri; Syngnathiformes; Syngnathidae. The record is from RefSeq and is a predicted model, not a curated record. The transcript is spliced from 6 exons.